This 1887-nucleotide ribosomal RNA is filed under the name human gut metagenome. Its description in RNAcentral is "bacterial LSU rRNA". It matches the Rfam family "Bacterial large subunit ribosomal RNA", at positions 531 to 2425 of the family's 2925-position model. The record is from RNAcentral.
GAGGGGAGUGAAAGAGAACCUGAAACCCUGCGUUUACAAACGAACUGAGUACUAUUAGAGAGUACGAAGUUGUACUUAUUGAAGAACGGGCCAGCGAGUUACGUUUAUGCAGCGAGGUUAAGGUGUUAAGCACUGGAGCCGCAGGGAAACCGAGUCUGAAUAGGGCUAAAGUUGCAUGAAGUAAACCCGAAACCGGGUGACCUAUCCAUGAGCAGGCUGAAGCGGUGGUAAGACAUCGUGGAGGGCCGAACCUGUGUGCGUUGAAAAGUAUAGGGAUGACUUGUGGAUAGCGGAGAAAUUCCAAUCGAACUCGGAAAUAGCUGGUUCUCCUCGAAAUAGCUUUAGGGCUAGCCUCACUAAAGAAAUGUACGCAGGUAGAGCACUGAAUUGGCUAGGGGGCCACAAAGCUUACCGAACCUUAUCAAACUUCGAAUGGCGUACAUGGAUGAGUGGGAGUCAGACAGUGGGAGCUAAGUUUCAUUGUCAAAAGGGAAACAGCCCAGAUCAUCAGCUAAGGUCCCAAAGUAUAGGUUAAGUGGCAAAGGAUGUGAGGAUGCUAAGACAACCAGGAUGUUGGCUUAGAAGCAGCCACUCAUUUAAAGAGUGCGUAAUAGCUCACUGGUCGAGUGAUCUUGCGCCGAAAAUGUCCGGGGCUAAACCUAUCACCGAAGCUAUGGAUUUACAUCGGAUGAUGUAAGUGGUAGAGGAGCAUCGUAUGCGGGCUGAAGUCGUACCGUAAGGAGCGAUGGACUGCAUAGGAGAGAGAAUGCUGGCAUGAGUAACGAGAGGGUGGUGAGAAUCCACCCCAUCGAAAGCCUAAGGUUUCCUGGGGAAGGUUCGUCCGCCCAGGGUAAGUCGGGGCCUAAGCCGAGGACUAGAUGGUCGUAGGCGAUGGACAACAGGUUGAUAUUCCUGUACUACUCGAAGCGUCUGAGAGAAGCAGUGACACAGAAGGAUAGGUCAAGCGGGUUGAUGGUAGAAUCCGUCCAAGCAUUGAGGCUGUGUGGAUAGUAAAGUACGUCCGCAUAAAGCUGGGGUGUGAUGGGGACAGAACAUAAGUAUGGAAGUGACUGAAUUCACGCUGGCGAGAAAAGCUGCUAUCGAGCAGAAGGGUACCCGUACCGCAAACCGACACAGGUAGGCGAGGAGAGAAUCCUAAGAUGAGCGAGAUAACCCUUGUUAAGGAACUCGGCAAAAUGACUCCGUAACUUCGGGAGAAGGAGUGCCACGAAAGUGGUUGCAGUGAAUAGGCCCAUGCAACUGUUUAUCAAAAACACAGGUCUGUGCAAAAUCGAGAGAUGAUGUAUACGGGCUGACGCCUGCCCAGUGCUGGAAGGUUAAGGGGAACUGUUAGCGCAAGCGAAGCAGUGAACCGAAGCCCCAGUGAACGGCGGCCGUAACUAUAACGGUCCUAAGGUAGCGAAAUUCCUUGUCGGGUAAGUUCCGACCCGCACGAAAGGCGUAAUGAUAUGGGCGCUGUCUCAACAAGGGACUCGGUGAAAUUGUAGGGCUGGUAAAGAUGCCAGCGACCCGCGACUAGACGGAAAGACCCCGUAGAGCUUUACUGUAGCUUGGUAUUGAGUUUUGACAUUGGAUGUACAGGAUAGGUGGGAGACUGAGAGAUGAUGGCGUCAGCUGUCAAGGAGUCGCCGGUGGGAUACCACUCUUCCGAUGUUGGAAUUCUAACAACGACCCGUGAACCGGGCGUUGGACAGUGCCAGGUGGGCAGUUUGACUGGGGCGGUCACCUCCGAAAGAGUAACGGAGGUGCCCAAAGGUCUCCUCAGCAUGGUUGGAAAUCAUGUGUUAGAGUGUAAAGGCAUAAGGAGGCCUGACUGCGAGACUGACAAGUCGAGCAGAGACGAAAGUCGGGCUUAGUGAUCCGGUG